CGCGUGGUAGCUCAGUGGUUAAUAUGUUGGACUUCUGAUCAGAAGGUCAUGAUCAAAUCAUAGCCCUGCCA
Non-coding RNA from Ameiurus melas (black bullhead), 71 nucleotides. The record is from the annotation of a GenBank genome assembly. NCBI's taxonomy places the organism in Eukaryota, Metazoa, Chordata, Actinopteri, Siluriformes, Ictaluridae.